RNAcentral lists this ribosomal RNA (2931 nucleotides) under Escherichia coli. Its description in RNAcentral is "23S ribosomal RNA". It matches the Rfam family "Bacterial large subunit ribosomal RNA". The record is from RNAcentral. Lineage: Bacteria; Pseudomonadati; Pseudomonadota; Gammaproteobacteria; Enterobacterales; Enterobacteriaceae.
GGGUUGUGAGGUUAAGCGACUAAGCGUACACGGUGGAUGCCCUGGCAGUCAGAGGCGAUGAAGGACGUGCUAAUCUGCGAUAAGCGUCGGUAAGGUGAUAUGAACCGUUAUAACCGGCGAUUUCCGAAUGGGGAAACCCAGUGUGUUUCGACACACUAUCAUUAACUGAAUCCAUAGGUUAAUGAGGCGAACCGGGGGAACUGAAACAUCUAAGUACCCCGAGGAAAAGAAAUCAACCGAGAUUCCCCCAGUAGCGGCGAGCGAACGGGGAGCAGCCCAGAGCCUGAAUCAGUGUGUGUGUUAGUGGAAGCGUCUGGAAAGGCGCGCGAUACAGGGUGACAGCCCCGUACACAAAAAUGCACAUGCUGUGAGCUCGAUGAGUAGGGCGGGACACGUGGUAUCCUGUCUGAAUAUGGGGGGACCAUCCUCCAAGGCUAAAUACUCCUGACUGACCGAUAGUGAACCAGUACCGUGAGGGAAAGGCGAAAAGAACCCCGGCGAGGGGAGUGAAAAAGAACCUGAAACCGUGUACGUACAAGCAGUGGGAGCACGCUUAGGCGUGUGACUGCGUACCUUUUGUAUAAUGGGUCAGCGACUUAUAUUCUGUAGCAAGGUUAACCGAAUAGGGGAGCCGAAGGGAAACCGAGUCUUAACUGGGCGUUAAGUUGCAGGGUAUAGACCCGAAACCCGGUGAUCUAGCCAUGGGCAGGUUGAAGGUUGGGUAACACUAACUGGAGGACCGAACCGACUAAUGUUGAAAAAUUAGCGGAUGACUUGUGGCUGGGGGUGAAAGGCCAAUCAAACCGGGAGAUAGCUGGUUCUCCCCGAAAGCUAUUUAGGUAGCGCCUCGUGAAUUCAUCUCCGGGGGUAGAGCACUGUUUCGGCAAGGGGGUCAUCCCGACUUACCAACCCGAUGCAAACUGCGAAUACCGGAGAAUGUUAUCACGGGAGACACACGGCGGGUGCUAACGUCCGUCGUGAAGAGGGAAACAACCCAGACCGCCAGCUAAGGUCCCAAAGUCAUGGUUAAGUGGGAAACGAUGUGGGAAGGCCCAGACAGCCAGGAUGUUGGCUUAGAAGCAGCCAUCAUUUAAAGAAAGCGUAAUAGCUCACUGGUCGAGUCGGCCUGCGCGGAAGAUGUAACGGGGCUAAACCAUGCACCGAAGCUGCGGCAGCGACGCUGAUGCGUUGUUGGGUAGGGGAGCGUUCUGUAAGCCUGUGAAGGUGUACUGUGAGGUAUGCUGGAGGUAUCAGAAGUGCGAAUGCUGACAUAAGUAACGAUAAAGCGGGUGAAAAGCCCGCUCGCCGGAAGACCAAGGGUUCCUGUCCAACGUUAAUCGGGGCAGGGUGAGUCGACCCCUAAGGCGAGGCCGAAAGGCGUAGUCGAUGGGAAACAGGUUAAUAUUCCUGUACUUGGUGUUACUGCGAAGGGGGGACGGAGAAGGCUAUGUUGGCCGGGCGACGGUUGUCCCGGUUUAAGCGUGUAGGCUGGUUUUCCAGGCAAAUCCGGAAAAUCAAGGCUGAGGCGUGAUGACGAGGCACUACGGUGCUGAAGCAACAAAUGCCCUGCUUCCAGGAAAAGCCUCUAAGCAUCAGGUAACAUCAAAUCGUACCCCAAACCGACACAGGUGGUCAGGUAGAGAAUACCAAGGCGCUUGAGAGAACUCGGGUGAAGGAACUAGGCAAAAUGGUGCCGUAACUUCGGGAGAAGGCACGCUGAUAUGUAGGUGAAGCGACUUGCUCGUGGAGCUGAAAUCAGUCGAAGAUACCAGCUGGCUGCAACUGUUUAUUAAAAACACAGCACUGUGCAAACACGAAAGUGGACGUAUACGGUGUGACGCCUGCCCGGUGCCGGAAGGUUAAUUGAUGGGGUUAGCGCAAGCGAAGCUCUUGAUCGAAGCCCCGGUAAACGGCGGCCGUAACUAUAACGGUCCUAAGGUAGCGAAAUUCCUUGUCGGGUAAGUUCCGACCUGCACGAAUGGCGUAAUGAUGGCCAGGCUGUCUCCACCCGAGACUCAGUGAAAUUGAACUCGCUGUGAAGAUGCAGUGUACCCGCGGCAAGACGGAAAGACCCCGUGAACCUUUACUAUAGCUUGACACUGAACAUUGAGCCUUGAUGUGUAGGAUAGGUGGGAGGCUUAGAAGUGUGGACGCCAGUCUGCAUGGAGCCGACCUUGAAAUACCACCCUUUAAUGUUUGAUGUUCUAACGUUGACCCGUAAUCCGGGUUGCGGACAGUGUCUGGUGGGUAGUUUGACUGGGGCGGUCUCCUCCUAAAGAGUAACGGAGGAGCACGAAGGUUGGCUAAUCCUGGUCGGACAUCAGGAGGUUAGUGCAAUGGCAUAAGCCAGCUUGACUGCGAGCGUGACGGCGCGAGCAGGUGCGAAAGCAGGUCAUAGUGAUCCGGUGGUUCUGAAUGGAAGGGCCAUCGCUCAACGGAUAAAAGGUACUCCGGGGAUAACAGGCUGAUACCGCCCAAGAGUUCAUAUCGACGGCGGUGUUUGGCACCUCGAUGUCGGCUCAUCACAUCCUGGGGCUGAAGUAGGUCCCAAGGGUAUGGCUGUUCGCCAUUUAAAGUGGUACGCGAGCUGGGUUUAGAACGUCGUGAGACAGUUCGGUCCCUAUCUGCCGUGGGCGCUGGAGAACUGAGGGGGGCUGCUCCUAGUACGAGAGGACCGGAGUGGACGCAUCACUGGUGUUCGGGUUGUCAUGCCAAUGGCACUGCCCGGUAGCUAAAUGCGGAAGAGAUAAGUGCUGAAAGCAUCUAAGCACGAAACUUGCCCCGAGAUGAGUUCUCCCUGACUCCUUGAGAGUCCUGAAGGAACGUUGAAGACGACGACGUUGAUAGGCCGGGUGUGUAAGCGCAGCGAUGCGUUGAGCUAACCGGUACUAAUGAACCGUGAGGCUUAACCUUACAACGCCGAAGGUGUUU